UUGAGUAGCCUACAGUAACGUCGUCCCAUCGCAAAAAAAUAACAAUAUUCCACUAAUAACAUUUGAGUUUUGUAAUGAAUGGUCGUCAGAAGAGGAAGGGAAGGAAAGAAACCUGGUUACUUCACUGCAAAUCUCAAGCAGGAGGUAGAGCAUGUUGUCUGCUAAUUGGAUGAUCACCAGUAGGAUCCCUGGCUCUCCCAGUCCCCAUGUUGAAGUAUCCUCCUUGGCUUUUGGUCAAGAAAAUGUCUUUUAACCCACCACGACUUCACACUGUCCAACAUUCAGAGUGUGGUGGAUCUCAGGGAAACACUCACCCAGCAUCCUCCUCUCCUUUGCUGGCAUCAAUCUUGCCUCCAUCUCCGCC
Molecule: non-coding RNA, 364 nt
Organism: Plectropomus leopardus (leopard coralgrouper)
Lineage: Eukaryota; Metazoa; Chordata; Actinopteri; Perciformes; Serranidae
Source: RefSeq, a predicted model, not a curated record